Molecule: ribosomal RNA, 253 nt
Filed under: uncultured bacterium
Lineage: Bacteria
Description: partial 16S ribosomal RNA
Rfam family: Bacterial small subunit ribosomal RNA
Source: RNAcentral
UACGUAGGGUGCGAGCGUUGUCCGGAAUUACUGGGCGUAAAGAGUUCGUAGGCGGUUUGUCGCGUCGUUCGUGAAAACUUGGGGCUUAACUCCAAGCGUGCGGGCGAUACGGGCAGACUUGAGUACUACAGGGGAGACUGGAAUUCCUGGUGUAGCGGUGAAAUGCGCAGAUAUCAGGAGGAACACCGGUGGCGAAGGCGGGUCUCUGGGCAGUAACUGACGCUGAGGAGCGAAAGCGUGGGGAGCGAACAGG